UACAGAGGGCGCAAGCGUUGUUCGGAAUUACUGGGCGUAAAGGGCGCGUAGGCGGCCUGCUAAGUCGAACGUGAAAUCCCCGAGCUCAACUCGGGAACUGCGUCCGAUACUGGCAGGCUUGAAUCCGGGAGAGGGAUGCGGAAUUCCAGGUGUAGCGGUGAAAUGCGUAGAUAUCUGGAGGAACACCGGUGGCGAAGGCGGCAUCCUGGACCGGCAUUGACGCUGAGGCGCGAAAGCCAGGGGAGCAAACGGG
This 253-nucleotide ribosomal RNA is filed under the name uncultured bacterium. RNAcentral's name for it is "partial 16S ribosomal RNA". It matches the Rfam family "Bacterial small subunit ribosomal RNA", at positions 524 to 776 of the family's 1533-position model. The record is from RNAcentral.